Molecule: unclassified non-coding RNA, 390 nt
Filed under: fungal sp.
Lineage: Eukaryota; Fungi
Description: partial internal transcribed spacer region
Rfam family: Eukaryotic small subunit ribosomal RNA (bases 1-46)
Source: RNAcentral
AAGUCGUAACAAGGUUUCCGUAGGUGAACCUGCGGAAGGAUCAUUAACACGUUAUCCAUACGUUAACCAACGAGAAUCGUUUUCACGCUCCCUUCACGGAGAAUGAGCGGGGUUCGUAGAGGUGUUGAAAGGGAUUGCUUCGGUAGUCUGGCCUCUACUCUACUAUUGUUAUUCGACAGAAAUGUCUUAUACGACGCUGUAUCUUUUUGUGGAGAUUAAUCUCGGCUAGCGCUCUCCUUUCAUGAGAGUUAGACGGGAACUAUAUUAACUUAUUUCACCUUUUUGCUAGUUGACUUUUAUAUGUUGAGUCGUGUGCCAUGCAUGCUGCUCACACGUUUAUUUAUUUGAACGUUAAAAUUACAACUCUUAGCAAUGGAUAUCUUGGUUCUC